Molecule: non-coding RNA, 308 nt
Organism: Cinara cedri
Lineage: Eukaryota; Metazoa; Arthropoda; Insecta; Hemiptera; Aphididae
Source: the annotation of a GenBank genome assembly
ACUUUUUUCUCUCUUUUUUUUUUAUCGUACUAUAACAGUAUAUGCGCCCGUGUAGUUCCAAUCCCUCGCACUAUUCGUAUCUCAUAUUGUUUCCGUUUCAAUAGUUGUGUUAUCACCUAUUGUUAUGAUAGCGCAGACAGAAAAAAAUUCUCAAGACGCAUUAACCAUAAGCACCGUGAACGAAAUUAUAUUUUAUCGAAGUCAUGAAUACCUAUUUUCGAAUAUUCUCCUAAACUACAUUAUACUUGCGCUAUGAUAAUAAUUGUCAUGAGAAAAUAUAUCAAGCAACGGUUGUGAGAAACACCUGU